GCCAAGUGACAUCUUUUGCCUUUUCUUAUUAGAAACAGAAAUUAUUUAUACAACUUUUUUAGCUUCUUGCCUUUAUUUUUAGAUGUCUUAAAUGAGCCAAAAAGGAACAAAAGACUGUAGAAGAUGAAAACGAACCUACACAUGAUUCUAUUUUAACUCUGAUUUUUUUUACUUCCUCCAACUUUCACUGUAUAAGCAUGCAGUGCACAUAACAAAAUAUCAGGCAGGGCAAGCAUGAUAGAAGCUAUUGCCACCAUAACCUGAAAUUGAAAAUGUGACAUAAACAAAACUACAGAAAAUGAGCAACCAAAGAAAGCUUAUCCGAUUGGUUCUGUCAAAGUCAAGCCAAGAUACCCAAGAUACACAAGUAGCCCAUGAUAUGCAAAUUGGACAACAACAACCACAGGAUUGAAUUUGAUUUUUUAAAAUUUAAACUACAAGAAGAGCAGUGGUGGAGGACAGGAGGAGUCUUCUUAGAAGUUACCAGGAAAAGCAUUGUUGGUCAACUUGGGUAUGGAACUGGUCAUCUUCUGAAAGUAAUUUGCUUGUUUCUUUGGUUUGCUUAAGAAAAGAGUCUAUAAGUGACUGCUGUAUGGUGAAAGGGGAAAUACAGGUUUGGGACAUGACAUUGAUCUUAACUUGUGGAAAGCCCUGUUGUUGGAUUAUUUUCAGUCAUUCACUAUGGGAAGUCAUGUUACUGCAAAGUAGAAUACUAUGUGAUUAGAUGAUGCAGACUGUGUGUGCAGGGUAGGCACAAAAAUUAAAUAUAAGGGCUAUUUCUCCCUCCACACACUUUUAGUUUAAAUGAACAGGUGACUUCAACUAAAUGAUAUAUGCAUCCCUGAAUGAGUUAGUCUCUAAGGCAAAAUGUUAUCCUGCCUUUUGCCUUCCUAAUACAAGGGACAUAUUUUGGGGGGGAUCAUUAAACAAUUCUUGAUUUGAAUUCAUUUCCCUCAUUGUCACAAAAGAACCUGUCAAAAAACAGAAAAUGGGUUUUUCUAAGAAAAUAUUUCUUCCAUUAGAAGUUGUUAUUUUUGUGAAAAUUAGAAGUUGGUGGGAACAUGGCAAUUUCAAAGCACUGUUAAAAAAUUAAAUGAAACAUUUUAUGUUACCAG
This 1115-nucleotide long non-coding RNA is filed under the name Crocodylus porosus (Australian saltwater crocodile). RNAcentral describes it as "lncRNA (ENSCPRG00005006689.1)". The record is from RNAcentral. Lineage: Eukaryota; Metazoa; Chordata; Crocodylia; Crocodylidae.